Molecule: ribosomal RNA, 492 nt
Filed under: uncultured bacterium
Lineage: Bacteria
Description: partial 16S ribosomal RNA
Rfam family: Bacterial small subunit ribosomal RNA
Source: RNAcentral
AUUGAACGCUGGCGGCAUGCUUUACACAUGCAAGUCGAACGGUAACAGGCCUUCGGGUGCUGACGAGUGGCGCACGGGUGAGUAAUGCAUCGGAACGUACCCAGAGGUGGGGGAUAACGCAGCGAAAGCUGUGCUAAUACCGCAUGUGAUCUGAGGAUGAAAGCGGGGGACCGAGCAGCAAUGUUUGGCCUCGCGCCUUUGGAGCGGCCGAUGUCGGAUUAGCUAGUUGGUGGGGUAAAGGCCUACCAAGGCGGCGAUCCGUAGCUGGUCUGAGAGGACGACCAGCCACACUGGGACUGAGACACGGCCCAGACUCCUACGGGAGGCAGCAGUGGGGAAUGUUGGACAAUGGGCGCAAGCCUGAUCCAGCAAUGCCGCGUGCGGGAAGAAGGCCUUCGGGUUGUAAACCGCUUUUGGCAGGAACGAAACGGUGUCCGCUAAUACCGGGCGCUAAUGACGGUACCUGCAGAAUAAGCACCGGCUAACUACGUG